CCCUGCCCUUUGUACACACCGCCCGUCGCUACUACCGAUUGAAUGGCUUAGUGAGACCUCCGGAUUGGCAGCCUGUUUCCGGCAACGGCAAUGAGCUGCUGAGAAGUUGGUCAAACUUGGUCAUUUAGAGGAAGUAAAAGUCGUAACAAG
Molecule: ribosomal RNA, 150 nt
Filed under: uncultured eukaryote
Lineage: Eukaryota
Description: partial small subunit ribosomal RNA
Rfam family: Eukaryotic small subunit ribosomal RNA
Source: RNAcentral